UGAAAAUGAAAUGAAUAAUAUAAAAAUAAAUAUCUCGUGCAAGGAUAGAAAUUAUUCAAAAUUAUCGAGAAUUUUUCUCUUCAAAUAUUAUAAAUGUUUAUAAAUAUUCUUGAUGCUCGGUCGAUUCGACGUUUCUGAAAUUUCGCAAGAAGAAUCGCAACAUUACGAAAUAGUGAAAAACAGUAAUAGACUUGUAAACAGAGAACUUACGUGUACAAUUUAUCCUCUGCGUUCUUCAUAUUCAUAAAAUACUGAUGCUGAUUAGAGUUAGCCACGACAGUGUAAUUGAUUCGAGAUUGUCUGGCUAAUUGUUCCAAAGAUUGUACAGGAGACUAAAACAGUACACGAUAUUGCGAUUAGUCCUCAUUUUGAAGAUCAAAAGUAAGGAAAGCAGCUAAAUUAGCAGUGAACGUAGCCAACAUUAAAACAACGAAUAACCAAUAAGCAGCAACUAGUAUCCUGCUUGAUAAUGCUUUGGGUGCUUCGCCACCACCUUGGGGCGUGAAAGACGUCAAGGCGAACCAGAAACUCUCUUUCAACGUGAAUUCUCUAUAUACACAGAAUAUAAUUACGUUUGACAAUCAUUAUUGAUUAAGUAAUUGCUUUGUCUUUAUGACAAUCGUUAACGAUAAAAUAUAGUGGUUAUUAAGGGUAAUAUUUAUAGUCUAAUCUUGAUCUAAUUCCAACAAAUUACCAAAGAUAUUGACACGAACAUUACUAUAAUAUUAAUAAUAAUAAUCUAAAUUUCCACUAAUAAAACUUUGAUAAUUUUUUAUUAGUAAGAACUUUUAAAUUUUAGACAUUUUAAAAUUCUUACCGACAAGGAUACGGAUACAGUUGUUUAUUAUUCCUGGCGCUGUAAGGAGAAUAUUUGUCAAGUAUCCAAAUCAUGAUGCCGGUUAAUGUUAAAGCUCCUACGAUGCUUAACCACACUUCGACUUUGAGCACUGUCAUAAAUUUGAAAAGGGAUGGUUUGCGGACAGGUUUUCUCAUUACUUGUAACAAGAAAUUAAAAAAAAAAAAAUCGUAUAAUGUAAAAAUUUGUUGUAACAUUCAAAUUGAAAAUAGUUGUAUUAUUUACCAAUUAAUAAGCCGGAUUGUUCGAAAUAAGGGGCGACAAAAUCGAUCACUUCCUCACGUUCUGAAGUCAUUGUCAAUGCGGCAACUACGAUAUCUGUCUCCUAGAAAAAAAAAAAAAAAUAAUUAAAAAAAAGAAGUGAAACAUAAUAGAAGAAUAAAAGAAAGAACAGAAAUAAAUUCAUAAAAGAAGAAUAUUAAUUUGAUGGAAAAAUUGAAGAGGAUAAUGUUUUAUACAAAGAGAUAUGCACGGUUGCAGACUCGUAGGCGCCAUCAAGUUCAAUAUAUAGGGUAUUAUAUUAAGAAAAUUUCGAUAUUUCUUUAGUAAGAUGGAAAAAGAUAAAGAUUCACAGAUGAAAUGAAAUUCAGUAUACAGAUCUUACUCCUUUAGCUAGAUCACCAAUCAAGCCGUUCCAUUGCCCAUUAGGUAAUUUCUUGCCAAAUUGUCGAU
Long non-coding RNA from Apis florea (little honeybee), 1528 nucleotides. NCBI's taxonomy places the organism in Eukaryota, Metazoa, Arthropoda, Insecta, Hymenoptera, Apidae. The record is from RefSeq and is a predicted model, not a curated record.